This 611-nucleotide long non-coding RNA is filed under the name Sus scrofa (pig). Its description in RNAcentral is "lncRNA (ENSSSCG00050012639.1)". Lineage: Eukaryota; Metazoa; Chordata; Mammalia; Artiodactyla; Suidae. The record is from RNAcentral.
AGACACACAGGGUGUCGAAGGAUGAGCAAGGGGAGGCCUGGCUGGAGGGACCAAGGUGGGUCCUCCAAGGAAGUGGCAUUUCCUCUGAGCUUCCCGGGGGAGCAGAGGUUUGCCAGGUACGUGGGAGGAGCUUCCCAGAGGAAGGGCCAGCACCUGCAAAGGCCCUGGAGUGGGAGAAACCUGGAGGAAGUCGAAAGAAGCAGCUCGGCGGGGGCGGGAAUACCCCACCCACGGCCCCGGCGUCUUGCCGGGCGCUCAGCCUCCCUCUGGCCUCUGUGGAGGCCUCCCUGCAUCGCCCUCCUGGAACGUCAGCCUCUCCAGAGCGGGAACUUCCGUUCCAUCUUGUUCAAGCUGCGCCCCGGAGCCUGGAACAGCCAGCACCUGGCGCUCAGCAGGUGUUCCAUCCCAUGGAAUCUACCAGAAACUGGGGUUCCCCAAAGCCUCUGCCUGCCUUCUGCAGCUGAGCUGCUUCAGCCUCUGUGGGACACCCAUUUGAAGGAACCUGUCCAAAUCCAUGUAAGAGAUCUCCUAUUUUUUCCCUCCCACCUGAGGCUCUUCCUCCUCACCAGACACCUGUUCCAAGGAAGCUCCUGCAACUAGGUAAGAUGAAU